CGACCCCAUGCGGGAGAGUCCUUCGCCGAUCAUGGCGAGGGCGCCGAAGGAGCAACUCCUCCCCGGAAUCUCUCAGGCUCAUGUACCGCAUGGACGAG
This 98-nucleotide non-coding RNA is filed under the name Streptomyces rimosus. RNAcentral's name for it is "Glycine sequence". It matches the Rfam family "Glycine riboswitch aptamer". Rfam says of the family: This family represents the bacterial glycine riboswitch. Glycine riboswitches usually consist of two metabolite-binding aptamers domains with similar structures in tandem. The record is from RNAcentral. Lineage: Bacteria; Bacillati; Actinomycetota; Actinomycetes; Kitasatosporales; Streptomycetaceae.